This 500-nucleotide ribosomal RNA is filed under the name uncultured soil bacterium. RNAcentral's name for it is "bacterial SSU rRNA". It matches the Rfam family "Bacterial small subunit ribosomal RNA", at positions 94 to 633 of the family's 1533-position model. The record is from RNAcentral.
AGUGGCGGACGGGUGAGGAACACGUGGGUGACCUACCUUGGAGUGAGGAAUACCGGCGAGAAAUUGCCGACAAUACCGCAUGCGCUUCUGUAGCGGAAAGCCUCGCUCGGAGAUGGGCCCGCGGCCGAUUAGCUAGUUGGUGGGGUAAGAGCCUACCAAGGCAACGAUCGGUAGCUGGUCUGAGAGGACGAUCAGCCACACUGGGAUUGAGAACGGCCCAGACUCCUACGGGGGGCAGCAGUGAGGAAUUUUCGGCAAUGGGGGCAACCCUGACCGAGCAACGCCGCGUGCAGGAAGAAGGUCUUCGGAUCGUAAACUGCUUUUCUCUGGGAAGAGGGACGGUACCAGAGGAAGAAGCCCCGGCUAACUACGUGCCAGCAGCCGCGGUAAUACGUAGGGGGCGAGCGUUGUCCGGAGUUACUGGGCGUAAAGCGCACGCAGGCGGUCGUGUAAGUUUGGGGUUAGAGCUCCCGGCUCAACUGGGAGAGCGCCUUGAAGAC